GGCGGACGGGUGAGUAACGCGUAGGAAUCUGCCCAGUAGUGGGGGACAACUUGGGGAAACCCAAGCUAAUACCGCAUACGCCCCAAGGGGGAAAGCGGGGGAUCUUCGGACCUCGCGCUAUUGGAUGAGCCUGCGUCGGAUUAGCUAGUUGGUAGGGUAAUGGCCUACCAAGGCGACGAUCCGUAGCUGGUCUGAGAGGAUGAUCAGCCACACUGGGACUGAGACACGGCCCAG
This 234-nucleotide ribosomal RNA is filed under the name uncultured bacterium. RNAcentral describes it as "partial 16S ribosomal RNA". It matches the Rfam family "Bacterial small subunit ribosomal RNA", at positions 97 to 334 of the family's 1533-position model. The record is from RNAcentral.